This 270-nucleotide ribosomal RNA is filed under the name uncultured bacterium. RNAcentral describes it as "partial 16S ribosomal RNA". It matches the Rfam family "Bacterial small subunit ribosomal RNA", at positions 28 to 281 of the family's 1533-position model. The record is from RNAcentral.
GAUAAACGCUGGCGGCGUGCCUAACACAUGCAAGUCGAACGACUCUGCCCUCGCGAGAGGGCAGGGGAGUGGCGGACGGGUGAGGAACACGUGGGUCACCUACCUUGAAGUGAGGGAUACCGGCGAGAAAUCGCCGACAAUCCCGCAUAGGUUGCUUGUCUUCGUGAAGAAGGGAGCAACAAAGCUCUGCUCGAGAGAGGAGGGCGCUUUGAGAUGGGCCCGCGGCCGAUUAGCUGGUUGGUGGGGUAAGAGCCUACCAAGGCUGCGAUC